RNAcentral lists this unclassified non-coding RNA (197 nucleotides) under uncultured Sebacina. RNAcentral describes it as "sequence contains ITS2". The record is from RNAcentral. Lineage: Eukaryota; Fungi; Basidiomycota; Agaricomycetes; Sebacinales; Sebacinaceae.
UACUCUCACACUUCCGAUCCUUGGAUUGGGAGCGGUGGACUUGGGUGUUGCUGCUUUACUGUGGCUCACCUUAAAUGCAUUAGUGCAACUCUUGGUUGGACAUAGUACGGCGUGAUAAGUAUCUUCGCCGGCACCUCGCAAGAGGGUGGCUGAUCAGAGCUCUGUGCUCUCCAACCGUCUUCGGACAACCAUUGACA